CGUGUAGGCGGUUUGUUAAGUCUGAUGUGAAAGCCCUGGGCUCAACCCAGGAAGUGCAUUGGAAACUGGCAGACUUGAAUACGGGAGAGGGUAGUGGAAUUCCUGGUGUAGGAGUGAAAUCCGUAGAUAUCAGGAGGAACACCGGUGGCGAAGGCGGCUGCCUGGACCGAUAUUGACGCUGAGACGCGAAAGCGUGGGUAGCAAACA
RNAcentral lists this ribosomal RNA (207 nucleotides) under uncultured delta proteobacterium. RNAcentral describes it as "partial 16S ribosomal RNA". It matches the Rfam family "Bacterial small subunit ribosomal RNA", at positions 568 to 774 of the family's 1533-position model. The record is from RNAcentral. Lineage: Bacteria; Deltaproteobacteria.